This 1205-nucleotide ribosomal RNA is filed under the name uncultured bacterium. Its description in RNAcentral is "bacterial SSU rRNA". It matches the Rfam family "Bacterial small subunit ribosomal RNA", at positions 83 to 1289 of the family's 1533-position model. The record is from RNAcentral.
GGCUGAUGGCGACCGGCGCACGGGUGAGUAACACGUAUCCAAGCUGCCGUCUACUCUUGGCCAGCCUUCUGAAAGGAAGAUUAAUCCAGGAUGGGAUCAUGAGUUCACAUGUCCGCAUGAUUAAAGGUAUUUUCCGGUAGACGAUGGGGAUGCGUUCCAUUAGAUAGUAGGCGGGGUAACGGCCCACCUAGUCAACGAUGGAUAGGGGUUCUGAGAGGAAGGUCCCCCACAUUGGAACUGAGACACGGUCCAAACUCCUACGGGAGGCAGCAGUGAGGAAUAUUGGUCAAUGGGCGAUGGCCUGAACCAGCCAAGUAGCGUGAAGGAUGACUGCCCUAUGGGUUGUAAACUUCUUUUAUAAAGGAAUAAAGUCGGGUAUGCAUACCCGUUUGCAUGUACUUUAUGAAUAAGGAUCGGCUAACUCCGUGCCAGCAGCCGCGGUAAUACGGAGGAUCCGAGCGUUAUCCGGAUUUAUUGGGUUUAAAGGGAGCGUAGAUGGAUGUUUAAGUCAGUUGUGAAAGUUUGCGGCUCAACCGUAAAAUUGCAGUUGAUACUGGAUGUCUUGAGUGCAGUUGAGGCAGGCGGAAUUCGUGGUGUAGCGGUGAAAUGCUUAGAUAUCACGAAGAACUCCGAUUGCGAAGGCAGCCUGCUAAGCUGCAACUGACAUUGAGGCUCGAAAGUGUGGGUAUCAAACAGGAUUAGAUACCCUGGUAGUCCACACGGUAAACGAUAAAUGCUCGCUGUUUGCGAUAUUCGGCAAGCGGCCAAGCGAAAGCGUUAAGUAUUCCCCCUGGGGAGUACGCCGGCAACGGUGAAACUCAAAGGAAUUGACGGGGGCCCGCACAAGCGGAGGAACAUGUGGUUUAAUUCGAUGAUACGCGAGGAACCUUACCCGGGCUUAAAUUGCACUCGAAUGAUCCGGAAACGGUUCAGCUAGCAAUAGCGAGUGUGAAGGUGCUGCAUGGUUGUCGUCAGCUCGUGCCGUGAGGUGUCGGCUUAAGUGCCAUAACGAGCGCAACCCUUGUUGUCAGUUACUAACAGGUGAUGCUGAGGACUCUGACAAGACUGCCAUCGUAAGAUGUGAGGAAGGUGGGGAGGACGUCAAAUCAGCACGGCCCUUACGUCCGGGGCUACACACGUGUUACAAUGGGGGGUACAGAGGGCCGCUACCCCGCGAGUGGAUGCCAAUCCCUAAAACCCCUCUC